Molecule: ribosomal RNA, 253 nt
Filed under: uncultured bacterium
Lineage: Bacteria
Description: partial 16S ribosomal RNA
Rfam family: Bacterial small subunit ribosomal RNA
Source: RNAcentral
UACGUAGGGGGCUAGCGUUGUCCGGAAUUACUGGGCGUAAAGGGCGCGUAGGCGGCCAUCUAAGUCAGACGUGAAAUCCCCCGGCUUAACCUGGGAACUGCGUCUGAUACUGGACGGCUUGAGUAUGGGAGAGGGAUGUAGAAUUCCAGGUGUAGCGGUGAAAUGCGUAGAUAUCUGGAGGAAUACCGGUGGCGAAGGCGGCAUCCUGGACCAUUACUGACGCUGAGGAACGAAAGCCAGGGGAGCAAACGGG